This 1945-nucleotide long non-coding RNA is filed under the name Gallus gallus (chicken). RNAcentral's name for it is "lncRNA (ENSGALG00010016348.1)". The record is from RNAcentral. Lineage: Eukaryota; Metazoa; Chordata; Aves; Galliformes; Phasianidae.
UUCUGAACUACAAUCUUGCUUUCUCCCAUUGAGCAGCAGCAAAAUGUCUUUUAUCAUUUGAGGCAUUAAAUAACUCCAGGGAAAGAGAGCUCCAUGGAAAGAACACCACCCUGCCCUCCUACUAUUCACUACGUCUGCCUGAUAUCUGCAGUUUCAAGGAAAGCUGUUCAAGUUUGGAGAAUUUGUUUGUGCAGCAGUACUAUGUAUCUUCAUAAAGCCAGCAAUGUAGCUGCAACUCAAGGCUCAUUUUUCUUCCUUACUUUGAAAUAUCUAGUUAGAAAGGAAAUCACUCAGGAAGGAGUGCAACAAAGAGAUUAAUUAUAGCAAAGCACUUACAGUGCAAUGGCCUGGACAUUUGGGAUUGCAGAGAAUAAGUGGGCCACUGAAAUGCCAGCAAGUGUAUGAACAGUUCCACCAGGUGCAAGGAGAUUAGGCAGCCUUUAUCCACACUACCAAAGUAUCAGAACAUUUCUUUUAGAUCUACUAUGCAGGCACGAGAGCCAAAGAAUCUGAAUUAUGCUGUCCUCCAGACUCUUCUAUUAUGCUUUUUUCAGCAUUUUGCACAAAUGAGAUGGAUCAGAGUUCACACUUGUGACAAGCUCUGCUGAAACUGCAGAAACAAAGGUACUUGCUAGAAUCUAAUUCCCCAAAUAAUAAGUAGCAGUCCCUAUCUCUGAGGGCAUGUACCAUAACAGAUGCUAGCACAUCAUCAUGCAAGCAACUAGACACUGUCAGCAGCUGUUGAGAUAAUACAGUGUUUGAUUUUAUUUCUCUGAUAGCAAUUUGGUUGCCUGAAGUAGCUCAUUUUUGCCAAAGGUAGACCAUAGUGUUCAAAUGGGAGAAGCUGAUCAUUAAUGGUAAUUUGCUUUGAUCUUUAUGAGUGUGGAAUUAGAGUGGGAAGUGUGUGCACUUUAAUUGCCUUUUAGCAUCACCAAGGCAGACUAAUAUUGACUAAUAUUGAUUAAGUGGGAUGAAAUCCUCUUCUGUUUUUUUUUUCCUCCCAAGGAGAAAGCAAAUUGGUUCAUUCAUUAGAUAACACACAGAAAAGAGGCCUGUUCCCAGACCACCUACUGCUCUGACAUAGAUAGCUCCACCUCAUUUAAAAUUCUUGUUUAUUUUUGUCUCCUCUAGGUGAAGCUGCUUCCCAAAAGAAAAACACAGAUGUGUAGGUUUUUAGAACUCUUCUUGCAUUUAUAAAACAAGCAGGUGACAUUGGGCUGUUCAUCACAACUGAUUGUUCAGUGCAAUUAUGUAGACUAUAUAAUGCCUUUCUCAUGGUAGAAGAAUGGCACAGGGUCAUUUGCAAUGUUUGCUCUGUGGACUCAGGGAAAAGAAGUUACUAGCUUGCUAAUUAUCAGAUGCUGCUUCAGGCUCAUUGGCUUGAAAUUAAGCAUUGUUAAAGUCAAUUUAAACAAACUUUCAAACUACACUGUUUUAUUUUUCUGUUCCUAAGUGGCAAGCUCUUGAAAGCCUCCAAAGUCUUCAUCUUUAGUACUCUGAAAUUCAGCCCUCUUAAGCAAAAGAUUAUUCUGUGAGUAAGUCCAGUUUUUUGAUCAUGUUGACUUAUUGAUGAUUGUGACAUGGGAGGCCAAAAGAGGUAGAAGGGAUCUAAUGAUUUCCAAAUAAUAUUUAUGCAGCUUCCUAACUCAUCAGUGAAUGGCUCAGCCAAAAACUGCCUGAUAUAUACAGCAGCAACAUGUAUACAUCAGCAUUUCCAAGAGAAGAUUGUACAGCAGUUCCACAAUGACUUUUCUGAUGCAGUCAUACUAACACUAUUAGGAACAAAAAAAAUAGGAGUGUGACCCGAGGCUCAACUCAGAAAUUUCACCUUACAGAACAAAAUGGAAUUUUUAUAAUCUGGUAGCCUUAGUGCAGUAUCUCCUACAGUUCUGAAAACUUCAUCACUAGACAAAUAUUCAUAGUGGGAAGAUCGUGUUUUAAAGUA